Hirundo rustica (Barn swallow) is the source of this 9535-nucleotide long non-coding RNA. RefSeq lists it as uncharacterized. NCBI's taxonomy places the organism in Eukaryota, Metazoa, Chordata, Aves, Passeriformes, Hirundinidae. The record is from RefSeq and is a predicted model, not a curated record. The transcript has 16 exons.
ACACCGGAAUCGGCGGCAGGGGGAGCGGGGAAAUGAAUUCUGGUGAGUGGGGUCCCCCUCCUCGGGCCGCAUGAGCGAGACCUGCCCCCGUGCUGAGCUGUAGGAGGAAGCUGUGCAGUCCUUGGGCAGGGAUCUGCGGCAGCCCUGCUGCGCCCGGACGCGUAGAGCACCGGAGCACCCUGGGGUUGAACCACGCUGCCCUGGGAGUCAUCUCCAGGCCUGCGCCAGAUGGAACAGAGACUUCGGAUGUGUCUGACUUGGGCUCUUGUGUCGGCGUUCCUUAUAGGGGCAGAGACAGCUAACAGGGAAGUAUUCUGCCUCUUCCUGCCCUGGGGAGGGUUUUAUUGACUGUUUGAUUUUUUCCUUUGGACAGCUUGAGGAGGGAUAUAGUCCCCUGAAGCAUGCAUGAAGAAGAGGAGGGUGUGGGAGGAGGUGGUAGAUGUGACACACGAGCAGCAGGACAGCAAUCGUGUGACUUAGGGUUCAGUCUGUGGCGAGAGCUGGGACAGAACGCCUUUGCUUUCUUGCUCUGGUGACGGUCCCCAGCAUUGGCUAUGCUCUAGUGCAGGAGCCAUCUGUGCUUCCUCAGCCUGUGGUAGUGAGGAAAUAGGUCAGCUCAAGGCAGAUUUCCUCAGAUCUGCGUUCCCCACAUCACAGGUUGUUUGAGGAGAAAUCUCAGGAAUCCACAUAUUAAAUUUGCAAUGCAGGCACUCAGCUCCUGCAGGUGUGGGUCUGUGACACCUGUUUCUGGCCUUUUCCCAAGGAGGAUGGCUCCAUUCCCAUGGAGAGGGGGGUAAUUGCUGUCUAUCUGGACACGAUGAGGCACCUGACCUUGCUUCAGCUACUGGACUCCGGGAGGUCUGUGUCACCCAGUUCCUGGUCCAGAGCUCCUCAGACCUCUCCCAGGACUUGUCACUGUGCACCUUUCUCCACUGCCAGUCCUUCGGAUGCUGCCGUUCCCCUAUUCCACUUUCUUUCAGAGAGUCAUUCCCAGAUGGCUGCUAUGCCAACAGCUUUGCACUCCUGGGUGAUGUUCCCCUCUACUGGAUGUGGUGGAUUAUUAGUUGGAAACCAGGUAGAGGAGCCGUGCGUGCAGCACUUGGAUUUUGGCUUUGCCCUGAGCUUCCUGCCUCCCUGUCAGUCCUAGCUGCAAGAAGCCACAGAGAACGCUGCUGAAGCCUCUGGAAUCACCAACCACCGGAUAUCAGCAGGUUUGGCUACGGAAGCAGCCGCAGGCAGAGACUGUUGGGACGUCCAUGGUACCGAGGCAUCGUUUUCCAUCCAGGACAGAGUUUGUUGGCUCAUCUUCCAAAAGCUAAGUGUCGGGGAUGGGGGUGAUGAGAAGAGGAAAAAGGUUUUCAGUGCCAGGAGGCAAUUCAAAGCUAGCUUAGAGGAGAGGGCCCUAGAGGGCCAGACCCCUCAGAAGUAAAGGGUGAGGGUUUCUCCCCAGCAUCACCAGAGCCUUGGCUGGGCAGGGCAAUUCCAAGCCAUGUCUGUGUUCUAGCAAGCUUCACGUCUUGAGCCUUCUUUGAGUGUUUGAGAGUUCACAGGGUUAGGGUGCAUGAAGACAUUCCCAGCCAAGCCUGGGAUCCCUGUGCCAGGAACAUCCCUAGCUGCAAGGUGUAGGGUUGUAAGGAAGUAGGGUCCAGCAGGGGCACUUGAGAGAGACCCAGUGAUGCUGAGGGAGAGCUUGAGAGGUGAAGGAGUGUCAGGGCAGAGAGCAGGAGGUGAAAGUAAGGUGUAGAGGCUAGGAUGCAAAUUUGAGCGCAGGUGCAUGAGCCCUGAGAAGCGUCCUGUUUCCCUGAGAGCAGGUGCAGGCAGCCAGGCUGUGGCAGGCCAGCGGCAGAAGAGCCGAGAGGGGCAGGCAGGAAGCGUUAGUGGGGAGCAGGGUCCGCAGGGCCGGGUCUAACCGGGGGUUUCCCGCCCCGGCCCACCCUGGGAUCUCCUGUCUCCCCGCAGUCGAGGAUGUCUCCUCCCAUUCCUCGAGGCGGCGGUUGGUAAGGCUUCGUGCCUUUGCCACCGCCAAGAGCGCGGCUCUGUCAGCCUCUGCCCUGUCUCAGGGCCAAAGUUAGUUAGGCUAGGGAGAAACUGUGGAUGACUCGUCCUGCCCGCAGGACAACCCUUGGGACCCUGGAUCAGGAGCAUCCUCGACUGCUAGCAUAGGGCCUUAGAGAAGUAGGGUGAAGCAGGGCACUUGAGAGAGACCCAGCGAGGCUGAGGGAGGGCUCGAGAGGUGAAGGAGCGUCAGGCCGGAGAGCAGGCCAUGAAUGUAAGGUGUAGAGGCUAGGAUGCAAGUUUGAGUGCAGGUGCAUGAGCCCUGAGAAGCGUCCUGUUUCCCUGAGAGCAGGUGCAGGCAGCCAGGCUGUGUCAGGGCAGUGGCAGAAGCGCUGAGGGGGCAGGCAGUAGGGCUAGGGCUAGGCAGGAAAUGAGGAGGGGGGGCAGAGUCGACUGGGUUGGGGUUGAGCGUGGGAUGCCCACCCUGGUAUCUCUGUCCUGCUGCAAUCAGGGAUGUCACAGCCCUAGUGGAGGCCAGGGUGGGUGAGUGGGCUUAGCAUCCAUCAUGCCACCAAGACUUUGUCCGUGCAGGUGUCAGGCUGUGAGCGAAGCCAAAGCAAGCUGCCCAAGACUCUGGGCAUUGUUAAGAGAGGGGGAGCCCCAGGAUCAGUGUUUUUUGGCUGAUGUGCUGCAAAGUUCAUGCUUUAAUGUUUGGUUUUCUUUUUUGUAGCUGAGGAAGAGACACCAGGCUGGUGACAGCAGGACUUUCCCAGAGGGCGAGGCGGCAUUCCUUGGCACCGGAUGUGGAUGGCGAUCCCUGGACCUCCCAGAGCUAAGUGGAGGGCUCAAGCUGCAGAGGGCAUGAGAGCAGGGUGCUGGGUUGGGAGUUGCUGGGGGGGGAUUAUUGAGUCUGGUUUGGCUAGGGAGAUGUGCAUCAUGUGAGCGCUUAGGGCACCUGAAGGGCAAGUGUCAUUUUUGCUGGCCAUGCUGAGCUGUGGAGGGCAGAGCAGUCCCGGGCACGUGGUGUCUGUCGUGUGUUGCGCACUCUGUGUGUGUCGGGCAUCUCAUCUUUCACGUCUUUUCCCAUGGUCCCCCAGGGGCCCUAUGGGGAGCCCCGGCAUCACGGUUAGCAUUUCUGAUGUCUGCCUUUGUGGCCCCAGCAGCUUUGAUGGGAGAGCUGGGACUUGGAUCUGAAUCUUGUGUCCCUUUAGACUCAUCCAGUGCGAUGUCUUUUGAGGUCUUGUUCUGAGCUGUACAGACAGCUGUGCCCCGCCACGAUCCAUUUUGGCGGGUUAGGACUUGUUAGAAGUCCAAGCUAGGUCUUGGCUUGUGAGCGGAGGAGCGUCGGGCAUCCAUCUUUGUGAUUCUCGGAAGGCAUCAUCUUGUUAGCAUCCUCUUCUUGUAGGGUUCUGUGAGCCUGGCCAGCUCACCUUAUUUCUUCCGUUUGUCAUCUCAUUCUGAGUUUUCUCGGUCCUCCCGGUCAUUCUUCUUGUGGAGAGCUUUUUGUUGUUGUGGUGUCCUGUGUGAUGGAUGUUGUGGUGUCUUUGUCCCGGAGCUGCUCUGCCCUGCCGCAUGGGUGGGUGUAGGGGUAAUAGAAGAAGCCCCUGGGGCCUGAACUGGGUGAUGUCAGGUGGAGUUGUGGUGUGGAGGGCAUUGGUCGGUUGGCAGCACGUGUCUGUCGCUGUCAAGUUCCCGUGCCGCAGUGUGACUUUGUUCCUGUGUGCGUUUCAGAUGCGGAUGGAUUCACUUGAUGGCAGAGGGCCCCAUCCCGGGUGAGGGGGUGUCCCCAGAAGAGGAACUGAAGCGGGAUGUCAUCUGUCAAGGUGAAGCGGAGCAGGAGAUGUCACUUUCCACGGAGCUGCCCUCAGCAAGCAGAGGAUGGAUGCGGUUUGCCUGUCUCCUGAGACCUGUGGGGAGCAGAAGAGGAGUGUGUGAUGAAGCCUUGCUAUUUUCCAUUUGAAGGUGCCAUCCAGGUCCACCCCGUGACGACGGCAGGGGGCUCGGAGCGCGGCCGAGGCGUGCGGGGCGAGGACGUAGGUAUUCUUAGGAGACGCUGAGGAAGAGACACCAGCCCAGUGGGAGCUGAGGUCCACCCCGUGACGACGGCAGGGGGCUCGGAGCGCGGCCGAGGCGUGCGGGGCGAGGACGUAGGUAUUCUUAGGAGACGCUGAGGAAGAGACACCAGGCCGGUGGUGGCAGGACUUUCCCAGAGGGCGAGGCGGCGUUCCUUGGCACUGAUGUGGAUGGUGAUCACCGGACCUCCCAGAGCUAAGUGGAGGGCUCGAGGCACAGAGGGGAUGAGAGCAGGGUGCUGGGUUGGGAGUUGCUGGGGGGGAUUGAGUUCAGUAUGGAUCUGGAGAUGUGCAGGAUGUGAGUGCUUAGGGCACAUGAAAGGCAAGUGUCAUUUCUGAUUGUAAUGCUGAGACAGGCAGGGCAGAGCAGUCCCAGGCACGUGGUGUCUGUUGUCCACUCUGUGUGUGUCAGGCAUCUCAUCUUUCGCGUCUUUUCCCAUAGCCCCUCAAGGGGCCUGUGGGGAACCCUGGGAUCACUGUUAGCAUUUCUGAUGUCUGCCUUCCUGGCUCCAGUGGCUUUGACUGGAGAGCUGGGACUUAGAUCUGAACCUCAUCUCUGUUCAGAGUCAUCCAGUGCGAUGUCUUUUGAGGUCUUGUUCUGAGCUGUACAGACAGCUGUGCCCCGCCACGAUCCAUUUUGGCGGGUUAGGACUUGUUUAGAAGUCCAAGCUAGGUCUUGGCUUGUGAGCGGAGGAGCGUCGGGCAUCCAUCUUUGUGAUUCUCGGAAGGCAUCAUCUUGUUAGCAUCCUCUUCUUGUAGGAUUCUGUGAGCCUGGCCAGCUCACCUUGUUUCUUCCGUUUGUCAUCUCAUUCUGAGUUCUCUCGGUCCUCCCGGUCGUUCUUCGUGCGGAGAGCUUUUUGUUGUUGUGGUGUCCCCUGGUUUGCGGUGUCCGAUGUGACGGGUGUUGGUGUGGCUUUGUCCCGGAGCUGCUCUGUCCUGCCGCAUGGCUGGGUGUAGGGGUAAUAGAAGAAGCCCCUGGGGCCUGAACUGGGUGAUGUCAGGUGGAGUUGUGGCGUGGAGGGCAUUCAUAGGUUGGCAGCACGUGUCUGUCGCUGUCAAGUUCCCAUGCCGCAGUGUGACUUUGUUCCUGUGCGUGUUUCAGAUGCGGAUGGAUUCACUUGAUGGCAGAGGGCCCCAUCCCGGGUGAGGGGGUGUCCCCAGAAGAGGAACUGAAGCGGGAUGUCAUCUGUCAAGGUGAAGCGGAGCAGGAGAUGUCACUUUCCACGGAGCUGCCCUCAGCAAGCAGAGGAUGGAUGCGGUUUGCCUGUCUCCUGAGACCUGUGGGGAGCAGAAGAGGAGUGUGUGAUGAAGCCUUGCUAUUUUUCAUUUGAAGGUGCCAUCCAGCCAGGUCCACCCCGUGACGACGGCAGGGGGCUCGGAGCGCGGCCGAGGCGUGCGGGGCGAGGACGUAGGUAUUCUUAGGAGACGCUGAGGAAGAGACACCAGGCCGGUGGUGGCAGGACUUUCCCAGAGGGCGAGGCGGCGUUCCUUGGCACUGAUGUGGAUGGUGAUCACCGGACCUCCCAGAGCUAAGUGGAGGGCUCGAGGCACAGAGGGGAUGAGAGCAGGGUGCUGGGUUGGGAGUUGCUGGGGGGGAUUGAGUUCAGUAUGGAUCUGGAGAUGUGCAGGAUGUGAGUGCUUAGGGCACAUGAAAGUUCUGAUUGUAAUGCUGAGACAGGCAGGGCAGAGCAGUCCCAGGCACGUGGUGUCUGUUGUCCACUCUGUGUGUGUCAGGCAUCUCAUCUUUCACGUCUUUUCCCAUAGCCCCUCAAGGGGCCUGUGGGGAACCCUGGGAUCACUGUUAGCAUUUCUGAUGUCUGCCUUCCUGGCUCCAGUGGCUUUGACUGGAGAGCUGGGACUUAGAUCUGAACCUCAUCUCUGUUCAGAGUCAUCCAGUGCGAUGUCUUUUGAGGUCUUGUUCUGAGCUGUACAGACAGCUGUGCCCUGCCACGAUCCAUUUUGGCGGGUUAGGACUUGUUUAGAAGUCCAAGCUAGGUCUUGGCUUGUGAGCGGAGGAGCGUCGGGCAUCCAUCUUUGUGAUUCUUGAAGUGAUUCAUCUUGUUGGCAUCCUCUUCUUGUAGGAUUCUGUGAGCCUGGCCAGCUCACCUUGUUUCUUCCGUUUGUCAUCUCAUUCUGAGUUCUCUCGGUCCUCCCGGUCGUUCUUCGUGCGGAGAGCUUUUUGUUGUUGUGGUGUCCCCUGGUUUGUGGUGUCCGAUGUGACGGGUGUUGGUGUGGCUUUGUCCCGGAGCUGCUCUGUCCUGCCGCAUGGGUGGGUGUAGGGGUAAUAGAAGAAGCCCCUGGGGCCUGAACUGGGUGAUGUCAGGUGGAGUUGUGGUGUGGAGGGCAUUGGUCGGUUGGCAGCACGUGUCUGUCACUGUCAAAUUCCCGUGCUGCAGUGUGACUAUUUUCCUGACUUUGUUUCAGAUGCAGAUGGAUUCAAUCCAUGGCAGAGCGCCUCAUCCUGGGUGAGGGGGUUCCUCUGUGAAGGUGUAAGUCACUGUCUUAGCUGGGGUAGUGUAAAUAAUGACUGUGUAAGAGUUCUUUUUUUCUCUUUACUUUCAGGAAGUGAUGGUAGAUGUCAUCUGUCAAGGUGAAGCGGAGCAGGAGAGUGAACAGAGGAUGCAAGAGGAGCCAAGUGUGCUUUGAGAGUUUCCUUCUGUUUUGUGUCCCAAGCUUUUUUCCUAUUCCUUUAGGAGGUGUUGAUAAAAUUAUUCUUUUUCCACACGGACCUUCCCUUCACGGUAUUAAACGUGGAACCUUACUGCUGCCUGGACUCUCUGCCCUCCCUUGCCACGGAGACCUUUGUCUGUGACCCCUCAGCUGUGGUGAUGCAUCACGGGAAGGGCUUUGGCUCAGGACACUACACAGCCUAUUGCUACAACACGGAGGGAGGUUUUUGGGUGCACUGCAAUGACUCCAAACUGAACGUGUGUAGUGUGGAGGAGGUGUGCAAGACCCAGGCCUACAUCCUCUUCUACACUCAGAGAACGCUGCAGGACAAAGCAGGAAUCCCAGAAAAACAACUCCAAGCUCAGGUUUUUGCCACCCAAAACCAGUGACAAGGACACAAGACUGACAUUGCCAUGAGGGGACAUUCCCAGCUUCUUUUGGGGAACUUUUGGUGUUCAUCGUCUCCUUCUUUGCAGGGAAAACUGCAGGAAUGGGAUCAGGGUAGGGACGGGAUCCGGGCAGGGACGGGAUCCGGGCAGGAAAGGGAUCGGGGCAUGGAUCACGGCAGGGACGGGAUCAGGGCAAGAUAUUUGGAAAACCUUCUGGAGCUGGGCAGUUCCGAUUUGGGGCAGAAUCUUGGGGUUUGAUUGUCUUUUCAGCUCAAAAAAAAAAAAGAAACUAUAAAGUUUGAUGCUGUUCAUUCAUCCCCUAUCAAAGAGGAAUGAGCCCAAGCUGGCAAUGGGAGAAUCCAGCUGGAUCAACACCCUUCAAUCCCUAAAAAUCCUGAUCCAGCUCCAUCUCCAAGAGGAACAGGUACAGUACCCUUGAGCGGUCUGGUAAAUCCCAGGGAAACUCCCAGAGCUGUUCCUACUGGAAAAAAAAGUUUAAAUUCUUCUCAGUUCCUCCUCUGCUGCCCCAAUAGCGAUUUCUGCGCCCUGGGUGAAGCUUUGCCAGCAGCUCUGUGUCCCCAACUUUAGUUUUUCCUUACAGAAAAGUUACCAAGCAUAAGCUUAUGCUUUCCCUCCUAUGCACUGUGACAUUCCCAGGUCCUUUCAAAGCCUUGUAUUUAGAGACCUGUUGAAUACCCAGAUCUGAAUUUAUCUUGCUCCCUGUCACCUCCCAUUCCUCCCUUUGUACGCUCCUUGCCCAAAAGGCUCUGAAGCAUGUGUGGUUUGUUUCCUAAAAUGAGCGCUGGGUCUGUGUUGAGGAGGUGUCCCCAAAAUGAGGAAGAUGAAUCUUCCUGAUCCUGACCUUUCUACCUGUUCAAUGCAUUUGUGACCCAUGUUAGAGCUUAGAGUUUUGUGUAUUGAAUGGGUCCUUUGAGCAGGAAGUCUGCAGCUAUGUUGCGUGCUCUUGAGCCCAUUUUGGUUUUCGUGACAGGCCUAGCUCCGUCGACAUAAAGCCGAUAAGCAAGGAGUUAGCGCAUCUGAGUUAUCUCAGAUGUGGCUUGUGUUGAGUGUGUAUAAAACUUCCCUAUGUCUUUCAGCUAUUUCAGCUACUUACUCUCUUCACUUUCCUAGGAAUCCCUAAUUGUUCCAAACUGAUGUUUCCCUCUAAGGAUUUUUCCUUUCUUGUAGGUGGCUUUUUUUGUUUUUUUUUCCGUUUUGCCAGAGAGACACGGGUGACAUUGUGUUGGGCCUGCUGGUCUCUGCCUCCCCUUUUAGGGGGGAUGCUGGCCUCAGGCUGGCGUGGAUACUAUCUGCUAUUGAGUGGGGGGGUAAGGAGAGCUGGCUGCUUAGCAGCGCCUAUUUUCUCACCCUGCUCCAAAGAACUUUAGAUUUUUUUGCUCGGCCCCUGUUAACAGCUCUGGGUACUAUUUAGGCUGAGCUGCUGUGAUGGCCAUGGAGGGGUGGGCUAAAGAGGCCUUGCAGAUCUUGUUUUUGUGAGUUUUGACCGCUUGGUUGGUGUGAUGUGUGUUAUUUCUGCGUGACUUUUUUUUCUUCAGUGUUGCUUUGAACCUCUCAUGCCACGAGUUACUGUGGGAGAGGAAAAAACCUUCAGGCAGCUUUCGCGUGUUGUCGGUCUUAUGAAGGUUUUCCACCUUAGUCUUUCUCUGAGACAGAAAAGGAUAGGCUGAACGUGCAGAAGAAACACUAUGGAGUCAAGAGACUAUUUGUAAAGACAGAGGAUUUGUUCAUGAGUGGGUUGUUCCAUUCUUAUUUGUUUCUCCAAAUGCCCUAUUUGCACGAUUCCUUUAAUUCACGGGCAAGAUGUGCAUCUGGGGAUAGGUUUGGUUUACAUUUCUGGGUGCCUUUGAGGGAGGCUAUUGGUGGUUGACUAUGUGCUAUUUGUCUUACGAGAUGCUUGAACAGAGAUGCAGAGGAGAAACCCUCUGUGCCCGUGAGGAAGUGAAAAAAAAAAAUCUCUGUUCCUUGAGAGGAACAACCCUUUAUUUUGCAGCUCUUCCUCUUUACGAGGUGAGCCUCUUGUACGCCGGUCUAUGACUCCUGAUUGACAAGCCGCUUGGGAAACUUCUCAGGAGAGGGUGACCCAAGGCAGAGUUUCCCCGGGUGGCUGUUUUUGUGACCUUUCAAUAAAUCCACCCAAGAACGGUUCACUUUUGUGUAAGAUUUCUGAGUCUAAGAGCAAGUCUUGUCCUCCAGAAUGGAUCUGAGACUAUUGUCCAGUAGCGAAAUGGACUGAAAAGAACCACCUACCCCUUUUCUCUUUGUUUUCCAGGAAAGCGAACAGAGUAUGCAAGAGGAGCCAAGUGUGUUUUGAGUUUGAUUCUGUUUUGUUUUCCAAGUUUUUUUUUUUCCAUUGUUUUAGGAGGUGUUAAUAAAGUUAUUUUUUUUGCA